UGGAGAUAGUUACUUAUGCUGCUUUUACUGUUCUCUGUCAAUUCAAAGGUUGAUUCAAAGCUGGGGAGCUGCAGCUGCCUUUGUGACCACCAGGUGACGACACAGACUCAGGCACAGGGACCAAUCGAAACCUGAUUAACCAAACCUCACAUGUGCAAAAGGAUCAAUCCUUAGCAUUCGUGGGGGCUGUGAAGUGUGGAGACCACCCAGCUGAGUACACACCCCAGUCCUCCAAAGACACAACCCUUCUCAGGACCCCAGCUGCUAUCAGCAGUUCCCAUGAUGCUAAACUCAGUCCCAAGUCGGUGUGGAGGAAUGGCCUUCUCACUCUGCGCUGGAUACUAGGAAGAGACCCGCUAAUGUCCUACUCAGCACUGAGUCAUGGCAGGGAGCACCGGAGGCCAAUACAUAGUUGGAGAGCAGCAGUUGGCUCUUUAUCAGCACUCAAACAAGACAGUAAUUCAUCAUGUGCUAUAUUUGUUGGACAAAGCUGUUUGCUUGUUUGUGUGCCCAUAUAGUGGCAGUAAUGUGGACUAACCCUCCCUGAUUCCUACACAUGCAGGGAGGGUGGUGACUAUAUCAAGUUCUCCUAGUGAGUGUUUGAUGGUGCUAAAUUAUGAGCUGUCCCUCUCCUUCUUACAACAUGUCUGUCAUAUCACGAGCCAUUUGAACCGAGCGAUACGUGCACUUCCAAGAACCAGUAAAUCAGGGGUUCAAACGCUGACUGAUGUUUCACACUGACACAGUACAUUGUAGCCGUGCCUCCCUUGGCCGCAGGAUCCUCGCCAGGAAAGUGCAACAGACAAAAAGCAGUGAUUGGAUGAUAUGCUGCUGAAGCAGGUCUGCAGGGUCGCCUGUAACAUAUGAAUUCUCUGCUUGAAUUACUCUAGAGAUUGUACCAGAUUUACUGGGUUAUGGUUUGCGAGUCCCUCGCCUGCCUCUCCACUCUCUGCACAGCAACGUCUAAUUUAAUUCCCUGUGACACAUCGUUUACAAGGGCCAAGUCCUCUGCGUCCUGGAAGAGCUUCCAUCUUCCCUGCAUCCUGUGUGUGUGCGUGUGUGUGUGUGUGUGUGUGUGUGUGUGUGUGUGUGUGUGUGUGUGUGUGAGUGUGUGUGUGUGUGUGUGUGUGUGUGUGGUCCAGGUAUUACUCAUGCUGUGGGGACCGAAGUCUUUUUACAGAGUCACAUUAUAGGGACGUGUCCUAGUUAUUAGACAAAACAAGGCCCCAUUGUUCAAAUUUUAGUUGAAGAGAUGGUUUAAGGGUAGGGUUAGGUUAGCUUCAGAGUUAGGUUAAGGUGAGAGUACGGCUCAAGUUUGUGGUUAGGGUAAGGAUAGGUUUAGGUUUAGAUUUGGGUUUAUGUUUAGGUUUAGGUUUAGGGUUAUGGUAAGGCUAAGUUUAGGUUAAGGGUUAUGUGAAGGUUAGAGUAAGGUAAGUUUAGGUUUAGGUUAGUUUUAAAUUCAAGUUAAGAUUUAAGUAAGUCUCACAUAAGUCUGGAUGUCCAUUGAGCCAUAGAGACAUGUGUGUGUGUGUGUGUGUGUGUGUGUGUGUGUGUGUGUGUGUGUGUGUGUGUGUGUGUGUGCGUGUAUCCAUGCGUGUAUCUGUGCCCAGCUACCAACUUCUCUUGAGAUCCCAUAUUCAGCUCACAUGUUUCCCGUCCCAGACAACGACUCAGCCACAAACCUCCCCAGCAAAGCACAGAGUCUGUCUGUGUUUUCUGUCUGAACCUAAAGUCAAGCACUGAGUCAAACUCAAAUCACUGACUUCUGUCAAGCUAAACUCAAAGAUUUAGUAGUAGUGGGAAUGGCUUCUGAAUCUGAACAGCAGUUGGGAGGUGGCUGAUGUUGGAGAGUUUUUAACUCACUUGAAAUGAACAACAACUGUUUGUCGGUUUAAUCUAGAGAACUUUCAUAUCUUAAAAUCCAGACCAUAUUUCAUCAAACCCACAAGCCUCCAGUAUCAAAGAGGAUGUCACCAUUCUCUGCUUUCCCUGUGAUGUUGGUCCACAGGGAGUUGAAGUUACAAAAGACAAACUGAACAUCAGGCCAUCAGAGCAGUGGACCUAAAGUAAAAAGCUAAACUUGUUGCUGAGCAUAAUAAGUUUCUGUUUAAUGUCAGAAAGUGUUUUUUUUGUGCUAUAAUUCACGAAGAAAGAUUUCUCUGCCAAAAUCUUGUGGUAUGAUGGAAUGCAGAGAUGAGCCUGACUUUGUUUUUAAAGUUUGACUUGUGUUUUCAACUCCUGGUUAUGAUACAUUACUUUGAAGCUUCUGUUAUCAUUGUUUUACUCAACAAUUGCCUCAGUUAUUAUGCAUCUCUAUGCGAAAGGGGUUGUUUGGUGCAAAUAAAAAACUUAGAAUAACCUACUGACUGCC
Long non-coding RNA from Pleuronectes platessa (European plaice), 2371 nucleotides. RefSeq lists it as uncharacterized. The record is from RefSeq and is a predicted model, not a curated record. NCBI's taxonomy places the organism in Eukaryota, Metazoa, Chordata, Actinopteri, Pleuronectiformes, Pleuronectidae. The transcript is spliced from 2 exons.